UUGUGUAUCAGUACAUGGCAUAUCAAUAAGCGGAGGAAAAGAAACUAACUAAGGAUUCCCUCAGUAACGGCGAGUGAAGCGGGAAGAGCUCAAAUUUGAAAUCUUCAAGGUUUUACCUUGACGAAUUGUAGUUUAAAGAAGUGUUUUCUGUUAGUGGAGUUGGUAAAAGUUCUUUGGAAUAGGACAUCAUAGAGGGUGAGAAUCCCGUAUUUGACCAUUAUUUCCAGCUUUGUGAUACACUUUCAAAGAGUCGGAUUGUUUGGGGAUGCAGUCCAAAAUGGGUGGUAAAUUUCAUCUAAAGCUAAAUAUUGGCGAGAGACCGAUAGCGAACAAGUACCGUGAGGGAAAGAUGAAAAGAACUUUGAAAAGAGAGUUAAACAGUACGUGAAAUUGUCAAAAGGGAAGCGUUUGACACCAGUGUUGUUUUCUCGAAAAUCAAUUAAAAAAGGCCGGAUUUUGUGUUGUAUUGACCUUAAAAGCUUUCUUCACUCUUUUCUUGUCUUUUUUAAUGCACUUUUCGUUUAACAAGUCAACAUCAGUUUCUUUUGUUGUAAAAGGGUCAUUGGAAGGUGGCAUUCUUUUCGGAGAAAGUGUUUAUAGCCUUUGAUCUCUGCAACCGGAGAGACUGAGGUCUGCAGCGUAGACUCUUCGGGGUUAAAUACAUUUGUGCUAAGUUAUAGCCUUUUCAUAGACAACUUGUUGACUAUAUUUAGUCUUGUAGGCUUACUCGCUUAUGCUAUUUUACCUACGCUUAGGAUGUUGACAGCAGUAUAGACUGU
RNAcentral lists this ribosomal RNA (779 nucleotides) under uncultured Neocallimastigales. RNAcentral's name for it is "partial large subunit ribosomal RNA". It matches the Rfam family "Eukaryotic large subunit ribosomal RNA", at positions 22 to 632 of the family's 3401-position model. The record is from RNAcentral. Lineage: Eukaryota; Fungi; Neocallimastigomycota; Neocallimastigomycetes; Neocallimastigales.